UGGGGGAGAGAGCAAGAGACUUUCACUUCUCUAUGUCCCCAGCCUCUGACUCCCGGGCCAAGUUGUGGUCUCCACACUUGCUGUACACCCAUGGGGACCACAGCAUUCAAGUAAAGAAUAAGGACAUCCAUUUGUAUUUACUUUUCUCCUACAAGAAAGAAGAUGCUAUGCCCAAUGGUUUCCAUAAAAGGUAUUGACUGAUUUCCAAAGAUAUUAUAAACUCCUACGUGCCAAGGACUGGAAAUACAACAAUGGCUUCAAGUUCAUUACCAUCUCCAAGCUUG
RNAcentral lists this long non-coding RNA (284 nucleotides) under Cavia porcellus (domestic guinea pig). Its description in RNAcentral is "lncRNA (ENSCPOG00000032731.1)". Lineage: Eukaryota; Metazoa; Chordata; Mammalia; Rodentia; Caviidae. The record is from RNAcentral.